Triticum urartu is the source of this 4452-nucleotide long non-coding RNA. RefSeq lists it as uncharacterized. Lineage: Eukaryota; Viridiplantae; Streptophyta; Magnoliopsida; Poales; Poaceae. The record is from RefSeq and is a predicted model, not a curated record.
AGAGAAAAAAAUGGUGAAAGCGCGUUGUAUCGUCAAUCCUCUGCUGGUCUCCUCGAUUUCGCCCUCUCUCGUUUCCUCCCCCGAGUGGCGGCUAGGGUUACCGCAGUCGCCGCCCAAUCCCUGCUCCUAGCUUCGGCCCCCACACACAUCUCCUACUUCUCUCCCUCUCUCCCUCGCCUCCAGGCACGCACAGGCAACCGCUCAAGGAGAGCAACAACGACUGGAUGCGGCCGCCGGAGGAGCAGCGGUGGCCGACGGGCUCGUGGCAGCAACGACUGCAGAGAGCUGCGGCACCGAACUGCGCGGCUCCGAUUCUGCAUCGACGCCUCCUUCCUCCGUCGCCUAGAUAUAAGGCGGUUCUCUCCUAGCCAACCUCCAGCCAUGCCUCUUCCUCUCCUCUUUGACCGGCUCUCUCCUCCUCUGGAGAAGUAGCACAUGGCGGAGCUGCAUCUGAUCCGCUGCCGACGGCGCACGUCUCAGCCCCAAGCCCGGGCUGUUUGAAGCAAUUGCUAUUAAGGUCACCGUCAGACUAUCAGAUCUCUAGGAGGUGGUGUCGGGUGGUGAUGUCAGGUGGGCAAGGCCAGCUGCUGAUGUGAAGAAGACGAACACGCAGGAGCGGGUCAAGCCACUUACUGAUCCCUACAUCUCAUUAUACUCUGCUCACAAGGCGUUCGACAGAUUGCAUCGUAUGUUCUUUUUUCACCAUUUUCUCAUAAUAUCAAUUGGAGUCUGACAUUUUCCCUUCAUAUAUAUGGUGACUGAUACAAGGGCAUGCUAAUUAUUUUUUACUUAUUUUGAUUUGACGGUCUUGUCUAAUUGCUUGAUGGAGUGAUAGUGUCAUUUCUCUGUUUCUCAUAUCAAUUUAUCCAGUUUGAUUUGCGAUCAGAAAAUAGAACCACUGGGAUUAGAUUGUGUACGUGGUUUUGACUUCAGGCCUUUAUCCUGUAGAGAUCAGAUAGGGAACCAGGAAUUUUCAAUAAUCUUCUUCUCUACUAAUACUCCUACGAAUCAGUGAUGAAGUUUGUAGGUGUGAUAACAUAAUGAAACUAUCUGAUAGUAACAGGAGGUGUUUAGCAGGAACCACAUCAGCAGGAACCAUCGCAGUGACCUUGUUGCAGUAGUUUCUUAGGUAUGCCGUAUAGGUUUAGUUAAGGUAUAAUCAGCCUGGUCAUCAAACGGCUCAAGUUCUUGGUUCAGUGAGUGACCUGUUCGACCAGGGAUUACUUCUCAGUACUGGCGGUUUAAAUUUGAAAGGCCGCUAGACCCUCGUAAGUAUUUUUAUGGUACAUAUUUUCAUCUCAAGUACAGUCAGGGGUAAUCGAAUACGGAGUACAUACUGCCAAUAAGCAAAAUCCACCAGCAAUAGGUCAUUCAGGAUUAGGUUUGGUACUUUAUAGCUGAAUGUGUGAUGUGCUUAGAAAAGAUUGCAACACACCAUACUCUAGGGAGGCACUUCAGAUUAGUGGUACAUAUUUAUUGUACUCUUAGUGUUAUUAUUUUUGAAUCAUUUACCUGCCUCUUAUCUUUCUACAUAGAGUAUGGUGAUGUACAGAGCUCUUGAUACAUUUCAAUAAAUAUUUUACUAGAUACAUUGCCGUAGGCGCUAAAAUACUAUAGCUAGACAUGGAUUGGACAGGAAUUCUGCAGCAUUUGCUUCAAUGUCUUUGCAGAUCCUGGGUAGCGUGGAUUCAGUUCAUGAUAAUACAUUUGUCCGCACCCAGACUGAAACUAAUGUUAAGGAGUUUGUGACACUAUGUCAAAUAACACGUAAGAGUAAUUAUUGGCAUUCGAUAUUAAAUCUAUCUCAUUUAUUUCUUUGCAUACUUUUGAAUUGUGUUUUCUCUUAAAGGAAACAGUCUUUUGCUGGAUGACUAAUUUAUGUAUUCCUGUUGACCAGAAUUUUGUUGGCCUUUCUAUUUCUGAUGGGUACAUUGCUAACGAGAUUUUUUUUUAUGUUUGAUGAACCUCCUAAAGCUAAAAGAAAAGAAAAAGUUGUUCAUAGUGAAGAGAUUUGAUUGGUUGCUUCUGUAUAUAAACAUGCGGGAUACAGUUCUACCAAGAAUCAAGCUUUAGCUCAAGGAUAUGGUGUGUAUUGUGCACUCCUAGCUUAAGAAUAUACAAAGCAUUCGGAACUACCAUUCCCUACUAAAAAAUGAAAAUUUAAACUAUCACGACAUUUAUGCGUUGUGGUGAUGUGCAUGUGAUUUUGAUUUGCAUAUUAGAUAGUUGGGCUUUUCUUACAUCUUGAUAUUUGGUGUGUUGUUGUGGCCACGAAGAAGAUGCAGUAGCAUGCUGGGAGCGAUAAGUCGUGUGUGUGGCACACACUGGAUUUUGCCGACUAUGAAUUUAAGGAGAUGUUCGCCAUCCGCUUUGGAUCUGGGAGAGUGAGCAUUGAGUACCCUAUAAUUUGUGCAGGUUUCAUGUUUUCAUUUGCUGUGAACAUGAUAUCAUCCAUGGCUAUGAGUUAUAAUAAUUCUUGAAAAUGUUGAACUGAAUAGCUAUUUUUUUACUUCUCAGUUUUAAUGAAGGACAGCUGGAGCUUAUUCAUUUUGAAUCGUUGACGCAUGACUUGCUUGAGACAAACCAAUCUGACGAGAUCUGCAAAUGGAUUUGAAGGAAAGAUUUAGAAGGUGAAGGAGCUGAUGAAGAGCUACAUUCUCACUGUCUUAAUCAUUUUUUUCAUGUACAAUGCAAUACAUGUAUAAGUUUGGUGCUUUGUGCUGACAAGAAUUUUCUGAUUGGCAUCAUUUGUAGUAACUGUGAUGAUCCAGGACGCUCUCAAGAUUACAAGUUCAGUAGUGGCAACCUGGACUUGUGUAAGAAUAAACUGAAUGAUGUUUCAUUCUGAAGAGAUUCCUUACUAUCGACUUGAAGCUUGCAUAGUUACGUCGUGGGAUUAUGAAUAAGAUAGUGUUAAUCAUAUUUUGACUUAAAAUGUAAAUUACAGAUUGAUCCUUUUACUAAAGAGAACAAGUCAAAGAUAGCAGGUGCAGUUGCAGGGCAACAGGGUAGAAGUAGGCAACAAGCAGUGAGCUGGAAUUGUUUGUUUGCUGCUCCUAUCUCUAACAUGCACUGAUGCACCACAAAUAUAAUAAGUUGUUGAACGAAAGAGGACCAUCGACCAUAAACAACUGCACAACCAAGCAAGCGCGCAAAGCACCGCACAGGAGGCGCGCCAAGGGCGUGCCCCAACCACUAGUGUUCAACAUAUCCCGCAUGAAAUCUUCAUGCCCAUUAAUUUACUCUAGUAAAUUUAUUUUCUAGAAUCGUCAACAUAUAGCAAUCAUCAAAUUGCCUAAUCAAAUAUGUUGAUACACUAGUGUGCUUUAUGAUAUAGUAAUAUACAUGAAAUUAAUGUAAAAACACAUACAUACAAGAACUGCAUAGCCAAAAGCUAAAGCAGAAAAGGAAAACUUAAAAAAAUAGUUCUGGGCCGAAUCAGCACAAUCGAAACCAGUUCCUUUUUUUCUUUCUCUAGAUCGAGAUGGGUCUUUGGCCGGUCCAGAGGACCGCACCGACCCAGAUCGGAUAAGGAAGAGGCUCUUCUAAAAAAAAAAGGAUAAGGAAGAGGCGACGGGACGGCUUCCGUCCACAUUGACCAAACGGCGGCCUCGGCCGCCUCGGCCGCCGUCGUCGCCUCAACAGCGAGGGACAGAGGGCCCCGACGCGCCGUCCUCCUCCUCUGAAGGAGAAUUUACUCCUGCCGCAGCACAAGCCAGCAUGUCUCUUGUCUCGACGACGCGCCAUUGCAUGCUGAUGCCGAUGCCAUGCGCCGUCGCGCCGGUCGACGCCCGUUGGCUGCUGCCGAAGCCGCGCCUCACCGGCCCCAAGCGGUCGCGGCCAAGGGCCACCGCACAGGCAAGGCGAUGCUGCGCACACUAUGUAUAUGGUGCCGCCAGCGGUCGGGAGGACCAGUGCGCCGCGGUCAAGGUCGCCGAGAGAUGUGCUGCGUCGUCGCGUACCGGCAGCCGCGCGCCACCGUCAACACGGCUUCCACACCGAUCCCAGGCCUCGCACCGAGCAGUCGGACGCGUGGGUGAGCAACACCGUUGCCCCUCCGCCAACCAUUGCAGUGACGUCGUGCCGUGCCAUGACCUGCCUAUGUGAUGCGUGUUGUAGCCAGAGCCCGGAGUUGCUUUUCUCGUCGUUCGUUGCCUGGUGUAGAGGUCACGCUGCAGGGCGUCUCACCGUUACGUCGCCGCACGAUGUCGAUGCCUCGUCGUGCUCACGUUGCAAGCCGGUGGUGUGUCUCCGCUGACCCGCCUUCAAAUUGAACGACCCCGUUGCGCCUCCUUGGAGCGUCGCUCCGCCACUCCGCCACGCCUUGCCAUAGUGGCCCAUUCUCAGCGGAGAACGGAAGGGCUGAUAACGUCGUGUUAAUAGUAAAAGUACGAGACAGGAUAUGAACCAAGUGUGACCUUUAUUGAUGAAUGAUAACUGCUAUUUAUACAA